Hordeum vulgare subsp. vulgare (domesticated barley) is the source of this 139-nucleotide non-coding RNA. The record is from Rfam. NCBI's taxonomy places the organism in Eukaryota, Viridiplantae, Streptophyta, Magnoliopsida, Poales, Poaceae.
ACAAUCCAGGAUGAUGAGCUGAUCUCCUACCUUCUUCAUGGGCUGGACAUAGACUACCAGCCGCUCGUCUCCGCCCUAGAUGCCUGGGUGACAUCGAUCACCCUCGAUGAGCUCUACGCCAUGCUCAGCAACUUCGAUC